RNAcentral lists this ribosomal RNA (433 nucleotides) under uncultured bacterium. RNAcentral describes it as "partial 16S ribosomal RNA". It matches the Rfam family "Bacterial small subunit ribosomal RNA", at positions 29 to 507 of the family's 1533-position model. The record is from RNAcentral.
AACGAACGCUGGCGGCAUGCCUAACACAUGCAAGUCGAACGAGACCUUCGGGUCUAGUGGCGCACGGGUGCGUAACGCGUGGGAAUCUGCCCUUGGGUUCGGAAUAACAGUUGGAAACGACUGCUAAUACCGGAUGAUGACGUAAGUCCAAAGAUUUAUCGCCCAAGGAUGAGCCCGCGUAGGAUUAGCUAGUUGGUGAGGUAAAGGCUCACCAAGGCGACGAUCCUUAGCUGGUCUGAGAGGAUGAUCAGCCACACUGGGACUGAGACACGGCCCAGACUCCUACGGGAGGCAGCAGUGGGGAAUAUUGGACAAUGGGCGAAAGCCUGAUCCAGCAAUGCCGCGUGAGUGAUGAAGGCCUUAGGGUUGUAAAGCUCUUUUACCCGGGAUGAUAAUGACAGUACCGGGAGAAUAAGCUCCGGUUAACUCCGUG